CCUACGGGUGGCAGCAGUGGGGAAUUUUGCGCAAUGCUCGUAAGAGUGACGCAGCGACGCCGCGUGAAUGACGAAGGCCUUCGGGUCGUAAAGUUCUUUCGACAGGGAAGAACAUGCACAUAAGUAACUGUGUAUGUAUUGACGGUACCUGUAUAAGCAGCCCCGGCUAACUCCGUGCCAGCAGCCGCGGUAAUACGGAGGGUGCGAGCGUUGUUCGGAGUGAUUGGGCGUAAAGAGCACGUAGGCGGUGUUGUAAGUCAUUAGUCAAAGACUAGAGCUCAACUUUAGUACGGCUAGUGAUACUAGAAAACUAGAGUAAGAGAGAGGAAUGCAGAAUUCCUGGUGUAGCGGUGAAAUGCGUAGAUAUCAGGAAGAAUACC
This 380-nucleotide ribosomal RNA is filed under the name uncultured bacterium. RNAcentral describes it as "partial 16S ribosomal RNA". It matches the Rfam family "Bacterial small subunit ribosomal RNA", at positions 338 to 710 of the family's 1533-position model. The record is from RNAcentral.